Molecule: small nucleolar RNA, 70 nt
Organism: Molossus molossus (Pallas's mastiff bat)
Lineage: Eukaryota; Metazoa; Chordata; Mammalia; Chiroptera; Molossidae
Product: small nucleolar RNA SNORD34
Exons: 1
Source: RefSeq, a predicted model, not a curated record
CGGUGUCCAUGAUGAUCCACGUUACCUACAUUGUUUGAAUCUCAUGAGAACAGCACUGGCUGAGACGCCU